RNAcentral lists this unclassified non-coding RNA (333 nucleotides) under soil metagenome. Its description in RNAcentral is "partial contains 5.8S ribosomal RNA, internal transcribed spacer 2, and large subunit ribosomal RNA". The stretch from base 1 to 120 matches the Rfam family "5.8S ribosomal RNA", at positions 35 to 154 of the family's 154-position model. The record is from RNAcentral.
GAUGAAGAACGCAGCAAAAUGCGAUAAGUAAUGUGAAUUGCAGAAUUCAGUGAAUCAUCGAAUCUUUGAACGCACAUUGCGCCCGCCAGUAUUCUGGCGGGCAUGCCUGUUCGAGCGUCAUUUCAACCCUCAAGCUCAGCUUGGUGUUGGGACUCGCGGUAACCCGCGUUCCCCAAAUCGAUUGGCGGUCACGUCGAGCUUCCAUAGCGUAGUAAUCAUACACCUCGUUACUGGUAAUCGUCGCGGCCACGCCGUAAAACCCCAACUUCUGAAUGUUGAUCUCGGAUCAGGUAGGAAUACCCGCUGAACUUAAGCAUAUCAAUAAGCGGAGGA